Molecule: long non-coding RNA, 1753 nt
Organism: Acanthopagrus latus (yellowfin seabream)
Lineage: Eukaryota; Metazoa; Chordata; Actinopteri; Spariformes; Sparidae
Exons: 2
Source: RefSeq, a predicted model, not a curated record
ACAGAAUAAUAUCAAAUAUUACUAUUACUAAACUAUUUACACCUUUGACUUAAAGAUCUAUCCUCUCAUAUUUAAAUACUUUUCACAGUUUUCAUGAAUCAUUUUUUUUAAAAAUGCCCCUCUUGAAGGACUAGUUUAUUUUUUCCCACGAAUAGCCUCAAAAAAGAAAAGGGUAUUCAAUUUAAUAUUACAGGAAAACCACUGAAUAUUGACACCUACACAUUUACUGCAACCAGUUUUUGCUUGAAUCAUUAAACUAAUUUCCUGGCGACCACUUUAAUAAUCACGUAUUGUUGUUGCUAUUUUAAUGGGUUGAACAAGUGGCAGACAAUGCUGUGUCUGGUUUAUUGCUUGGAUUAAAUGUUUUAUUCUCGACCUGUAAAUUUUAUUUUACUGUCCGAGUGACGCAUCGUCUCAAUAGACGAUCUCGAACGAGCACCGGCCGCUCGCUGCUGCUUCCACCAGUUUGUCGCCCCGCGCUCGCUCCCGGUUGGCGCGUCACGGCGUUGCUGUGGAGACCCGUCACCGCCGCGGGUGAUGGAGGCGCCGUGUUUACCUGUAAACUGCGACAGCGAGGCAGCCAGGGAGCCGCCAUCCGUCAUUUAUACCCUGAGAAGGGACGGAGGGAAAAGGCCAAUCAACAGGUGCUCGGUCCCACGGGAGAGGAUGGUGGCCGGCGAGGCUCUGAGAUUUACAUACGCUAUAAUUAUAAGAGGACAUAGCCUGUAGCCUAUCAGGCGCUUAUUAGCAUCACACACACACACACACAGCUCUUUCUCCCACACUCCUUUCUUCCUCUCUAAUGAAGGGCCCUUCAGCACUUACAUCAGCUCCGAGGAGGCAGCACAGAGAGGGAGUUGAAAGAAAGGAGCGGUAAUUACUCGAGAGCCUGAACUGGAGAGCAGAGAGCGGGCUGAGCUGAAGAGCGGCUGGAAGGAAAUGAAGUGGAGGGAACAAGUGUGUGUGGGGGACUGAAGGUAGCCCUGUACUCGCUUUCUUUCUUUCUUUCUUUCUUUCUUUCUACACAAUCAGACAUCCCGCUGUACUCUCCAUCCAUCCAUCCCUCCAUCCAUCCAUCCCUCCUCUGCUCCUGUUCAUUUACUCUGAGUGGCAGUGUGUGGGAAGUGAAGGCCAGCAGAACUUCAAGCAGAGCCGCUUCCACGCCGUCUCGACACUUCACCAGUGGGAAUAACAGUUUGUGGAAGGAGCAGGAGGGACGCAGAGCGAGUGUCUGACGAUGGGCCGGUCGGGGUGGAGGGGUUCAGACACCGGCCGCAUGUGAAAGCAGCGUGAAACAAAAGCUCAGCAGGAGGUCUGAUGACUGCAUACGUGUGAAUUGGGGGAGUGAUUGGAGACUAAUUGAUCACCAGAGUCACUAUCAGUUCAUUACCGAGGUGGUAAUGACCCUAAUCAGUAAACAGGCGCGAUCAAUCACCGGUGAUUGGUUAAUGAUGAAGAAAUAAAAGGAUUCGAGCAGUAAUGAAGGAUGCUUUAAAACAUCUGAUCGGUUGGAAUUAGAUGGAAAUGCUGCAACACAACAGAAAUCACUGAUUUAAGUUACUUUAAGCACCAACCUGUUGCAGGAAACAUCCACAAAGAUGUCAAUCUUUUAUUUUUUUGUCUUUUUGCAGAUUCCUGUACAGCUCCUCUGUCUUUAUUUAUCAAUCAUCUUGCACUCUAUAUCUCUGUCUGUUUAUAUUGUAUAUAAAAGACAAAUUCCUUCUUGGUGUAAAGUUCUUGGUAAUAAAUCUGU